Molecule: ribosomal RNA, 468 nt
Filed under: uncultured bacterium
Lineage: Bacteria
Description: partial 16S ribosomal RNA
Rfam family: Bacterial small subunit ribosomal RNA
Source: RNAcentral
GACGAACGCUGGCGGCGUGCUUAACACAUGCAAGUCGAACGGAAAGGCCCUGCUUUUGUGGGGUGCUCGAGUGGCGAACGGGUGAGUAACACGUGAGUAACCUGCCCUUGACUUUGGGAUAACUUCAGGAAACUGGGGCUCAUACCGGAUAGGAUCUCCUGCUGCAUGUUGGGGGUUGGAAAGUUUCGGCGGUUGGGGAUGGACUCGCGGCUUAUCCGCUUGGUGGUGGGGUAGUGGCUGACCAAGGCUUUGACGGGUAGCCGGCCUGAGAGGGUGACCGGCCACAUUGGGACUGAGAUACGGCCCAGACUCGUACGGGAGGCAGCGGUGGGGAAUAUUACACAGUGGGCGGAAGCCUGAUGCAGCAACGCCGCGUGCGGGAUGACGGGCUUCGGGUUGUAAACCGCUGUCGCCUGUGACGAGGCGUGAGUGACGGUAAUGGGUAAAGAAGCACCGGCUAACUACGUG